AUGUCUAGCGUCGCGACCCAGGAGGCGGCGUCGGGGUCGACCUUGCAGGAGAAGGCAGCCAGCAGGAACAAGCGCAAGUUCCGUGCCGAACCGCCGUCCGGCGAGCUGGCCCCCUUCGGGCUGGAGUACCCGCUGACGACGGACUGCGUGGGCUUUGAGUUUAUGUCUCCUGAGAAGGCUGCCAUGGCGGCGGCCGCCGCUGCUGCUGAGGGUGUCAAUCUAGACUUCAUCCCGAGCACCUGUGAUGCCUGCAAAGGCAUCCACGCCACAGCGGAGGAGCUAUUAGAGUGUCAGCGGUAUGUGAAUUGGAGUGACCCAAAUGAGGCACAGCUGGAGGAGAUCCUUCUCAAGAGUCUGGAUACAACCUUUGACAAUGCUGUCAGUGUGAUCACCACAAUGGGCUACUCAGAGGCUGCCGCAAGGGCUGCGGUCGUGAGGGCAGCCGCACAGUACAGCUGGAGGGAGAGCCUUGCUGGGUUCAGUGAGGCCGCGGUCGAGGUGCUCAAGUCCGAGGGGGACAUGUUACCAAGGGAUGGCUCCUCCCUUGAGGACAUGAGGAAGAUUGAGCAGGUUGUGCUUGCUAGCCUGGUUGCGGUGGUCAAUGAGGCCCAGCCGUUCUACACCACAGGCGAUGUGAUGUUUUGCUUGCUCAUGUCAGAUAUGAAUGUAGCCCAUGCCUGUGCCAUGGACUAUAGCGCUGCUCCUCUUCCGGCUGUGGGUGCUCAAGUGAUUGCACAGCCAGUUGUGGGGAACUAUGAACCCACCCCAACUUCCGAUCUGUCGGUUUCUAUUACCAACCCACAGACUGGUGUUACUUUCCGCGGCAAACUUACCCCAGUGCCACCUGGCACGUACAAUGCUGUGAAAGCUGAUUCAUCCACAACACCAGUGAACCCGAAUGUGCCAAGUGGCAAGCCAUGUGUCUCUGGAAAGAUGCAUCCUGUGGCACCAAAUGUUAAGCCAAAAGAACACCCGGCUGCUACGCCUGAUCAUUCAGAGGAUCAACCAUUUGUUGCUGCUGCGACACAAUCUGUGAAGGAUGAUAAGCCAUUCCCUAGCAAGAGGGGAGGCUCUAAGAGGGAUUCCUUGCACCGGCAGAAGUUAAUGAGCUUUGAUAAGAAUUCCCGAGCGUUGGGCUCUAAAGGAUCUCUUAGGUCUGGCAAGUAUAUCUCUUGUGGGACUGUAGCAUUAGAGAGGAAGUGCAGGCAGGUUUCAGAUUCUGCUACAUGUAGCUUGAAAGGUGCAUCAAAAAUUGCCAAGGGGUUUGCUGCAAGCAUGAAAGGGUCAGAAUAUUCAGUUGACCUUUCUUUUACAGCCACUGGUACCAUUGCCUCCCUUCCAUCAUUUGAUGCUAAGCCCCCCAAUAACACUGACCCAGCAUCAGCUGCUAGCACAGAAUUGUCAUUGUCGUUGCCAUUGCCUUUGCCUUUACCUUCCUCAAGUGAUGGUUCUGCUCCUUCUUUGAAUCAUGAUUCUAGUGCUGAAGCUGUAGACCCUAGCAGCAAAAUUAACUUUGCAUACGAUGAGGAUCAGAAGGUCUGGAUUCCACAAGAUAAGAAGGAUGAAAUGGUCUUGAUUCUUGUCCAGAGGCAGAAAGAGUUGCAAGCACAUAUGAGGGAUUGGACAGACUGGGCUAUGGAGAAGGUGAUGCAGGUCACACGGCGACUUGCCAAAGAGAAGGAGGAGCUUCAGUCACUCCGGAAAGAGAAGGAAGAGGCGAGCCGACUUCAUGAUGAAAGGCACUGUCUGGAAGAGAGCACUCGGAAGAAGCUUUUAGAGAUGGAGUCUGCUAUUUCUAGGGCAAACAAUCAACUGGAUAAAGCAGAUGCUUCUGCUCGUAGGCGUGAGGCUGAGAAUGCACAACUUAGGAUGCAGAUGGAAGCCGCAAAGCGGCACGCAGCUGAGUCUGCAGCAAAUUUUGUGGAGCUUUCAAAGAAGGAUGAGAGCAGUCUUAAAAGGUCCCAGCAUUGGGAAUCCGAGAGAGCCAUGUUGCAAGAGCAGCUUGCAUCUGAAAAGAGCAAACUAUCUCGGGUUCAGCAACAACUUCAGCAUGCUAAAGAGAAGAAGGAACAACUCAAGGUAAGAUGGAGACAGGAAGAGGCUAGGAAGACUGAGGCAAUUGCCUGUGUGAGCUCAGAGAGGAAAGAGCGGGGUCAGAUUGAGACAUCUCUGAGGUCGGAAGAGAAUUUCCUGCACCUCAAAGCUGAGAACGACAUGCAGAGAUACAAGAGCGAGAUCCGUGCCCUGGAGCAGCAGAUCUCGCAGCUGAAGAUAUCCCUGGACGCUUCAGAGACGGCUGCUCCCAAGUGGGGAACGGACGACAAGACCCGUGCCCUGCGUCUCUCCGAGGGGAGAAAGAACGGCGGCAACGCACAGGUCCUGGCCAAGGUUGCGGGGGCGGCGGCCCUGGACCUCGACUUCGACGACAUCCAGCGCGACCGCGAGUGCGUCAUGUGCCUGAGCGAGGAGAUGUCGGUGGUGUUCCUCCCCUGUGCCCACCAGGUGGUCUGCGCCAAGUGCAACGACCUCCACGACAAGCAGGGGAUGAAGGAGUGCCCGUCGUGCCGGACCCUCAUCCAGCGCAGGGUCUGCGCCCGCACCGUGGGCUGCUGA
This 2613-nucleotide ribosomal RNA is filed under the name Triticum aestivum (bread wheat). Its description in RNAcentral is "partial small subunit ribosomal RNA". Lineage: Eukaryota; Viridiplantae; Streptophyta; Magnoliopsida; Poales; Poaceae. The record is from RNAcentral.